This 472-nucleotide ribosomal RNA is filed under the name uncultured bacterium. RNAcentral's name for it is "partial 16S ribosomal RNA". It matches the Rfam family "Bacterial small subunit ribosomal RNA", at positions 28 to 526 of the family's 1533-position model. The record is from RNAcentral.
GACGAACGCUGGCGGCGUGCUUAACACAUGCAAGUCGAACGGGAGUAUUGAAGAAGCUUGCUUUAGAGAUACUUUAGUGGCGGACGGGUGAGUAACGCGUGAGGAGCUGUCCGAUGCAGGGGGACAACAGUUGGAAACGACUGCUAAUACCCCAUAAGCCGAGAGGUAAAAGGAUUUAUCCGGCAAUGGAGGUACUCGCGUCCUAUCAGCUAGUAGGUGAGGCAACGGCUCACCUAGGCGAAGACGGGUAGCCGGCCGGAGAGGGCGAACGACCACACUGGAACUGAGAUACGGUCCAGACUCCUACGGGAGGCAGCAGUGGGGAAUAUUGGGCAAUGGGGGGAACCCUGACCCAGCGACGCCGCGUGGGUGAAGAAAUCCCUCGGGAUGUAAAGCCCUGUUGUAUGGGAAGAGCGGAAGACGGUACCAUACGAGGAAGCCCCGGCAAACUACGUGCCAGCCGCCGUAAAAC